GCGGGAAUAGCUCAGUUGGUAGAGCACGACCUUGCCAAGGUCUGGGUCGCGAGUUCGAGUCUCGUUUCCCGCUCCA
RNAcentral lists this transfer RNA (76 nucleotides) under Escherichia coli. RNAcentral's name for it is "tRNA-Gly". It matches the Rfam family "tRNA". Rfam says of the family: Transfer RNA (tRNA) molecules are approximately 80 nucleotides in length. Their secondary structure includes four short double-helical elements and three loops (D, anti-codon, and T loops). Lineage: Bacteria; Pseudomonadati; Pseudomonadota; Gammaproteobacteria; Enterobacterales; Enterobacteriaceae. RNAcentral also lists the same sequence under 5 other names. The record is from RNAcentral.